UACGUAGGCAGCAAGCGUUGUUCGGAGUUACUGGGCGUAAAGAGUGCGUAGGUGGUGCCCUAAGUCUGUUGUGAAAUCUCCCGGCUUAACUGGGAGGGUGCGGUGGAAACUGGGGUGCUUGAGUGUGGGAGAGGUAAGCGGAAUUCCUGGUAUAGCGGUGAAAUGCGUAGAUAUCAGGAGGAACACCGGUGGUGUAGACGGCUUACUGGACCACGACUGACACUGAGGCACGAAAGCGUGGGUAGCAAACAGG
Molecule: ribosomal RNA, 253 nt
Filed under: uncultured bacterium
Lineage: Bacteria
Description: partial 16S ribosomal RNA
Rfam family: Bacterial small subunit ribosomal RNA
Source: RNAcentral